CCCGCGACAAGCGGUGGAGUAUGUGGUUUAAUUCGAUGCAACGCGAAGAACCUUACCUGGUCUUGACAUCCCGGAGACCCUUAGGAAACUAGGGGGUGCUUCCAUCUGGAAGAAUCUGGAGACAGGUGCUGCAUGGCUGUCGUCAGCUCGUGUCGUGAGAUGUUGGGUUAAGUCCCGCAACGAGCGCAACCCUUUGCCUUUAGUUGCCAGCAGUUCGGCUGGGCACUCUAAAGGGACUGCCGGUGUUAAACCGGAGGAAGGUGGGGAUGACGUCAAAUCAUCAUGCCCCUUAUGACCUGGGCUACAAACGUGAUACAAUGGCUGGAACAAAGGGAUGCGAAGCAGUGAUGUGGAGCGAAACCCAUAAAAACAGUCUCAGUUCGGAUUGCAGUCUGCAACUCGACUGCAUGAAGUUGGAAUCGCUAGUAAUCGCGGAUCAGCCAAGCCGCGGUGAAUACGUUCCCGGGCCUU
This 471-nucleotide ribosomal RNA is filed under the name uncultured Desulfobulbus sp. RNAcentral describes it as "bacterial SSU rRNA". It matches the Rfam family "Bacterial small subunit ribosomal RNA", at positions 920 to 1382 of the family's 1533-position model. The record is from RNAcentral. Lineage: Bacteria; Pseudomonadati; Thermodesulfobacteriota; Desulfobulbia; Desulfobulbales; Desulfobulbaceae.